RNAcentral lists this ribosomal RNA (497 nucleotides) under uncultured bacterium. RNAcentral describes it as "partial 16S ribosomal RNA". It matches the Rfam family "Bacterial small subunit ribosomal RNA", at positions 28 to 507 of the family's 1533-position model. The record is from RNAcentral.
GAUGAACGCUGGCGGCGUGCCUAAUACAUGCAAGUCGAGCGAACGGACGAGAAGCUUGCUUCUCUGAUGUUAGCGGCGGACGGGUGAGUAACACGUGGAUAACCUACCUAUAAGACUGGGAUAACUUCGGGAAACCGGAGCUAAUACCGGAUAAUAUUUUGAACCGCAUGAUUCAAAAGUGAAAGACGGUCUUGCUGUCACUUAUAGAUGGAUCCGCGCUGCAUUAGCUAGUUGGUAAGGUAACGGCUUACCAAGGCAACGAUGCAUAGCCGACCUGAGAGGGUGAUCGGCCACACUGGAACUGAGACACGGUCCAGACUCCUACGGGAGGCAGCAGUAGGGAAUCUUCCGCAAUCGGCGAAAGCCUGACGGAGCAACGCCGCGUGAGUGAUGAAGGUCUUCGGAUCGUAAAACUCUGUUAUUAGGGAAGAACAUAUGUGUAAGUAACUGUGCACAUCUUGACGGUACCUAAUCAGAAAGCCACGGCUAACUACGUG